GGAAUCUUCCACAAUGGACGAAAGUCUGAUGGAGCAACGCCGCGUGAGUGAUGAAGGGUUUCGGCUCGUAAAACUCUGUUGUUGGAGAAGAACAGGUGUCAGAGUAACUGUUGACAUCUUGACGGUAUCCAACCAGAAAGCCACGGCUAACUACGUGCCAGCAGCCGCGGUAAUACGUAGGUGGCAAGCGUUAUCCGGAUUUAUUGGGCGUAAAGCGAGCGCAGGCGGUUUGAUAAGUCUGAUGUGAAAGCCUUUGGCUUAACCAAAGAAGUGCAUCGGAAACUGUCAGACUUGAGUGCAGAAGAGGACAGUGGAACUCCAUGUGUAGCGGUGGAAUGCGUAGAUAUAUGGAAGAACACCAGUGGCGAAGGCGGCUGUCUGGUCUGCAACUGACGCUGAGGCUCGAAAGCAUGGGUAGCGAACA
RNAcentral lists this ribosomal RNA (424 nucleotides) under uncultured Lactobacillus sp. RNAcentral's name for it is "bacterial SSU rRNA". It matches the Rfam family "Bacterial small subunit ribosomal RNA", at positions 358 to 774 of the family's 1533-position model. Lineage: Bacteria; Bacillati; Bacillota; Bacilli; Lactobacillales; Lactobacillaceae. The record is from RNAcentral.